UUGCGUUUAGGUGGGGAAAGGUGUCAAUGUUUUCUUUUUUAAAAUAAUAUUGCACUUGUCCCGGCCUAUAUGCGG
Non-coding RNA from Stomoxys calcitrans (stable fly), 75 nucleotides. The record is from Rfam. NCBI's taxonomy places the organism in Eukaryota, Metazoa, Arthropoda, Insecta, Diptera, Muscidae.